Molecule: ribosomal RNA, 253 nt
Filed under: uncultured bacterium
Lineage: Bacteria
Description: partial 16S ribosomal RNA
Rfam family: Bacterial small subunit ribosomal RNA
Source: RNAcentral
UACGUAGGGUGCGAGCGUUGUCCGGAAUUAUUGGGCGUAAAGGGCGCGUAGGCGGCUCGGCACGUCCGUUGUGAAAUCGCCCGGCUCAACUGGGCGGGGUCAGCGGAUACGGCCGAGCUUGAGCAAGCUAGGGGGCAAUGGAAUUCCCGGUGUAGUGGUGGAAUGCGUAGAUAUCGGGAGGAACACCAGUGGCGAAGGCGGUUGCCUGGAGCUUUGCUGACGCUGAUGCGCGAAAGCGUGGGGAGCGAUCCGG